AGCCGGGAACUCUCCAUAGAAGCCAUAGAUGCAGAUUGCAUUCCCGGGCGGUAACGUCCAGUGAGUGUCCUCUUUCCGGGCUAGGACCUUUUCCCGUCGGGUCGCCCACAGCCCCUCCUCCGGGCGUGGUGGAGGAGGAGAACCACAAGGGACUCCUUUCCUAUUUAAAGGUUGCCAGCUCAAGGGACCUGGGUCCACCACGGGUCCCUUGGCGCCGCGGUUGCAGACAGACUCUGACAACGGUUGAGCCGCUAGCUGCAUGGUUCCCGCCGUCCCUGGACACUUUUCCCGGUGACCCCAAGGCAACGGCGCACUUGUCACCGUGGGUGACCGAGAGGGGACGGCGGGGGGCGGGCCCCGCGGGGCACGUGGGCGCGGCCGGCGCUGGCCGCGGCAGCAAGUGGUUGGGCCGUGCGCAGUCCGUCCUGCGCGGCGCCGGCGCGGGUGCCCGGUGCGCGGCGCCCUCCGCUCGGCUGCGCCGCCCGCCCGCCGCGCGCCCAUGUCUCUGCCGGUGGUGCUCCCGGGCUCCUGCUGCCCGGUGGCGGGGCUGUCGGGCGGACCUCAGGCCGGGGGUCCUGGCGCCGCCACCGCCGCCGCCGCUCAGGAGCCGCCGCUGCCCCCGCUGCGGCCGCGCUGGCCCCGGGGUGCUCUGCAGCCUCCAGCCCGGCCCCGCUGCGCCCCCGCCGCCGUGCUGGCCCCGCCGCCGGCGCUCGCGUCCCGCCGCCCCGCCGCGCCAGGCUCCGCGCUGCUGCCCGCGCGCCCGCUGCUGUCGCUCGGGCUCCUGCAGCUGAUCCUGGGCUGCUGCAUGGUGGCGCUCAGCUUCGGGGCGCUGUCGCUGAGCAGCUCGCCGCAGGUGAAGAACUCGUGCCCAUUCUGGGCUGGCUCCUCGGUGAUACUCUCUGGAAUCAUUGGAUUGACGACUUGGAAAAGGCCCAUGAUACUGCUGGUGAAUCUCUUUGUGCUGCUCUCUGUGGUUUGCAUCCUCCUAAAUCUCGCAGGCUUCAUCCUAGGCUGUCAAGGAGCCCAGUUUGUGUCCAGCGUGCCCAGGUGUGAUCUGGUGGACUUAGGUGAAGGCAAGAUCUGCUUCUGUUGUGAAGAAUUUCAACCAGCCAAAUGCACAGACAAAGAAAAUGCCUUGAAACUCUUCCCGGUCCAGCCUUGUAGUGCUGUGCACCUUCUGCUUAAGAAAGUCCUGUUUGCCCUGUGUGCCUUGAACGCCUUGACCACCACAGUGUGUUUGGUGGCUGCUGCCCUGCGCUACCUCCAGAUCUUUGCCAGCAGAAGGCCAUGUAUUGAUGAAUCCCAGAUGUCUGCAGAGGACGUGGAAGAACACGGUCGGAUUCCAGACCCAGAUGACUUUGUGCCACCAGUGCCUCCUCCUUCUUACUUUGCCACAUUUUACUCCUGCACACCUCGGAUGAACCGCAGGAUGGUUGGUUCUGAUGUCAUCCCACUGCCCCAUAUCUAUGGAGCACGCAUCAAGGGUGUGGAAGUGUUCUGUCCUCUGGACCCCCCACCUCCAUACGAAGCUGUAGUGAGCCAGACUGACCAGGAGCAGGAGUCUUCAUUCCAAAUGCCAGAAGGACCAGAAACUGCUGCGAGCCCAGCAGAGCCAGUUUGCACGCAGAUAACUCAAGGUGGGGCUCUUACUAACACGACUGGUGAAGAAAACACAUCUGGAUCAACUCCUAUUCUCACUCUGGUUCAGCCUCCGAGAAGCCGGAGAGCUCUCCCCCUUCUGAGGACAAGAUCAAAGAGCGACCCUGUGCUUCACCAUUCGGAGGAGAGAGCUCUGGACUGACCAUAUGGAAGCCACAGAGAACCCUUCCCUGGUCCCUGCAGCAGCUUCCAGGCGGGGAGGAAGUCCUGCCUCCCAAGACGAGCUGUGUGUCUCUGCAAACCAGUAGGCUUGGCAGCCUGGCCUCUAGUUCAAAGCCCCACCUUCACUGUGGAGGUCCAGUAUCCUACCUGGCAAGUUGAGUCUUCGAGCUGACCCUGUGCCAGCUUCUAGGAGCAUGUAGCCGUUUGCACAGCAAAGGGAGGCUGGACCCCCCUUGCAUUCUUCAGUCCUGUGGACGAGAGGACAUUUACCUGGUGGCUUGUUUCACUGAGGAAGGCAUUCAGUGAGCGAAUGCAAACUACACUCUGUCUUCACACGGCUUUAUCCCGUGUUUCUGGAAGACUUGUUGUCUGUAACGAGAACAUGGCAAGCUGGAAGGGCAGCUUCUAACCCUGGGUCAGAACUCCUGUCUGCCUUUCUCCAGAGGAAAAGGAAACCUACCCUUCUUUCACCUGUCACUCCACCCUGUGCUUCCUGCCUCCUUGAAUAUCUGAAUCUGUACUUAUGCGGCCUUUACAAAUUUGACAGCUGUGUGCACUGAAGCCUGAUGGUGGCUUGUGGACACAUGGAGAUCAGACCCGAGGAAUAACUUCUCCACCCAGUUCAUGGUGAAAUAGCUUCUUGCCAGUCUUUAUCCCUUUACUGAUGGAAGCAGCCAUGGGAAUUAGAGCCUGCAGUGGAUUUUUUUUAGACCCUCUGUUGACUUCUGGAAUGAUGUAACUUUCUGCACCUAGGUUUUCUGUACUAGUCAUAGAUCUGCCUCACAGCCAUGGUGUGAGCCUCAGAAAUAGGCAUCAAUAGAGUGCUCCGAGGAUGUUUAGGACCAAGGUACCGUGACAGCAUAUUUUCUGCUCAUCCCACAAGUGUGUCAUCUGUCUCUUCCUCUCUUUGACUCUUCUAAACCUACCUGCCCCAACAUUCUCUCGUUGGUCCACCAUCUUUUUCUUUCUGCUUAGCCAUCCAUUCCUAUCUACUCCAUGAAAACACGCUCCUCCGUGGUUUGCACUGUGGAUUCUGUGCCGUGUCAUCUGUCUUUGCCUUGGGGACUGUUUAUGUGCCGUGGUUCAGUGUCUCAGCACACAGCCUAUUGCAAGUGCACUUCACACAAUAGAGCUGUGUUAGUUUCAUUUCCCUUCAUUCCUUCUGUUCUUCAAGAUGGUGAGAUGUACACGCAUGACCUCGGGCAUCUGCCAGAUGUUGUCUACACUGAGAUUUCUAUGGUCAGUGUGCAGAGGGGCUUGUUCAAUGGUGACAUUUUGUCUCUGUCCACAGCUACCCCGGUGCUCAGCUGCGAAGCUGCAACGCAGACAGAAAGGAGGCUAGAUCUCGCUACAGUGACUCUGAGGAGAGGCGCGAGGCCACGGGCAUCAAGAUGCAGACCCCGCUCUCUGAUAGAUUACAGGUCAUACAUAGACACGAAGCUGCUAGUGGCCAGGUUCCUGGAGCAGUCCUCCUGCAGCAUGACUCCGGACAUUCAUGAACUUGUAGAGAACAUAAAGUCUGUUCUGAAAUCCGAUGAGGGGCACAUGGAAGAAGCCAUCACGAGUGCCAGUUUCCUAGAGCAGAUAAUGGCCCCGUCACAGCCCAGCACAUCCCAGGCCCAGGAGUUGAGCUGGAGGAGACAGCCCGGCCUGCUGCACCUGCGCAGCUGUGGAGAUCUAAGCACCUUCUCUCUGACAGCAAGGCCGAGAGCCGAGAGGAGGCCCCAGCAGCGAGCGGAGGCUGAGCGGCCACACAGCCUUAUUGGUGUCAUUCGAGAGACUGUCCUGUGAACUGAGUGACAUGGAAGGAUGUCCCUCCUCAGUGCUGUUUACUGUCUGGGAGCCAGGGGCACCCCUCCCCCUCCCCCCACUGGGAACCCCUCAACCGGGUUCCUGGGGUGGGCACUUAUUCCUGUUCUUUGGCUCCCUUUUUUUGCUGACGAGGGCACUCAGGUGAACUCGGGUGAAGUACGUUCUUCCUGGCCCUUCCAGUCUGUGUGUUCCUGGUUGGAGAAGAAGGCAGGGAGGGCUCCUUUGUCUGCUGGGUCUCACAGUAUCCCCAAGGGGUGCACACUGGGUGAGCAGAAAGCAGGCUCCCUAGCCUUUGCCUGCCUCACCCCUCAUGGCUCUUGUUGUUGCCAAGUUCAUUCCCUUGCUGUAAGGGGAGAGCUGCCGGGCUAUUUAUAGCAGCCUGCCGCCUCUGGCUGCUCAGUGAGAGGAAUUGGCAGGAGACAUGAUGGUUAACACCAUGUGACUCCAGUCUUCCAGCCUCCUUUAGGUUACCCUCAAUCCCUUCCUCUUUAGGAAAAGCAGCAGACCAGCUAAGCGGUGUUUUGUUUUCUUUUCUUUUGUUUUGUUUUUAAAUGAAGGACGUUAAGGGUGAGCACUAUGGUUGAGUCCAUUCCUUCAUGCUUGCAAACUAGAAGACAGAACAGAGAAUAAAGCGCUGGCGUUGGAAAGUCUGGA
Mus musculus (house mouse) is the source of this 4287-nucleotide RNA transcript. It is a transcript of the gene named endosomal transmembrane epsin interactor 1, with no coding region annotated. The transcript has 11 exons. The record is from RefSeq and is marked validated. Lineage: Eukaryota; Metazoa; Chordata; Mammalia; Rodentia; Muridae.